Molecule: ribosomal RNA, 253 nt
Filed under: uncultured bacterium
Lineage: Bacteria
Description: partial 16S ribosomal RNA
Rfam family: Bacterial small subunit ribosomal RNA
Source: RNAcentral
UACGUAGGGUGCGAGCGUUAAUCGGAAUUACUGGGCGUAAAGCGUGCGCAGGCGGUUCGUUAUGUCCGUUGUGAAAGCCCCGGGCUCAACCUGGGAAUGGCAAUGGAAACUGGCGAGCUAGAGUGUGGCAGAGGGGGGUGGAAUUCCGCGUGUAGCAGUGAAAUGCGUAGAGAUGCGGAGGAACACCGAUGGCGAAGGCAGCCCCCUGGGCUAGCACUGACGCUCAGGCACGAAAGCGUGGGGAGCAAACAGG